This 310-nucleotide ribosomal RNA is filed under the name Weltnerium sp. 1 SML-2013. Its description in RNAcentral is "partial 12S ribosomal RNA". Lineage: Eukaryota; Metazoa; Arthropoda; Thecostraca; Scalpellidae. The record is from RNAcentral.
AAUGGAUUUGGCGGCGGAAUAAUCCAGUUAGAGGAACCUGCUCUGUAAACGAUAUUCCACGAAUUAUCCUACUUUUAUUGGUAAUCAUUUUGUAUACCGUUGUUGUUAGUUAGAUUUAUUAGGAUUAUCUUUCUUAAUUGAUUAUUCAGUUACUUCAAAUAAUGGUGCAGAUCUAUAUAAAAGAUUGAAGUGGGUUACAAUUAAAGGAUUAAUACGGAGGGUUAUAAUGUAAAAAAAUUUUGAAGGAGGAUUUAGAAGUAAAAAAAUUUUAUUUUGGCAAGAGUUUUAUUCUGUGUACACACCGCCCGUC